ACUACGGGCGGCAGCAGUGAGGAAUAUUGGUCAAUGGGCGCGAGCCUGAACCAGCCAAGUAGCGUGAAGGAUGACUGCCCUACGGGUUGUAAACUUCUUUUAUAAAGGAAUAAAGUGAGGCACGUGUGCCUUUUUGUAUGUACUUUAUGAAUAAGGAUCGGCUAACUCCGUGCCAGCAGCCGCGGUAAUACGGAGGAUCCGAGCGUUAUCCGGAUUUAUUGGGUUUAAAGGGAGCGUAGAUGGGUUGUUAAGUCAGUUGUGAAAGUUUGCGGCUCAACCGUAAAAUUGCAAUUGAUACUGGAAGUUUUGAGUACAUGUGAGGUAGGCGGAUGUCGUGGUGUAGGGGUGAAAUGCUUAGAUACCACGAAGAACCCAGAUUGGGAAGGCAGCUUACUAAACUGCCACUGACAUUGAUGCUCGAAAGUGUGGGUAUCAAACAGGAUUAGAUACCCGAGUAGUC
This 460-nucleotide ribosomal RNA is filed under the name uncultured bacterium. RNAcentral describes it as "partial 16S ribosomal RNA". It matches the Rfam family "Bacterial small subunit ribosomal RNA", at positions 338 to 795 of the family's 1533-position model. The record is from RNAcentral.